GCCGCGCUGCUGUCUGGCAGCGCACACACAGAUGUGAUCAGCUCGUGUAGCACGCUUCUUGGUAGCUGCCUAUUCUUCUGCCGAGUUCAUAACUGUCAGCUCCUAAUUCACUACAGUGGAGCAGUGUUAAUUAUCAUCCAGCGGGGCCGGAGGAAGGCAGGAGGGGCUGCCACAAAAUGAAGAGCUAUUCACAAAAUAGGAAAAAUAUAAUUUAGCUGUAAGGGAAGUAAUUAUGCUUUUAUCCUCAACAGUAUUUUUUUCUGUUUUUCUCAUUCUCAGGUCUGUCUCUCUCUUUCCAUCUCUCUCUUUCUCCUCCAAACCAGUCUGUGUGUACUCUCCCGCAGGACCUAGGUGUAAUCUUUCGGCCAGGUAAAUAAAGAAGCGCUCCAGCAGCGAGGUGGAGCGCGGGGCCGAGGCGGGGCCCGAGGUGUGGCAGGGUUUCAGUGCGAGAAGGCGCUGGAGCCCACUGUGCGAUUGGCUGACAGGCUAUAGACAGGAGCGGCGCACCUAACAGAAUUCUCAAUAAAAGCAAAUAUGACAGGCA
Molecule: long non-coding RNA, 544 nt
Filed under: Betta splendens (Siamese fighting fish)
Lineage: Eukaryota; Metazoa; Chordata; Actinopteri; Anabantiformes; Osphronemidae
Description: lncRNA (ENSBSLG00000000354.1)
Source: RNAcentral